AGAUUGAACGCUGGCGGCAGGCCUAACACAUGCAAGUCGAGCGGUAGAGAGGUGCUUGCAUCUCUUGAGAGCGGCGGACGGGUGAGUAAUGCCUAGGAAUCUGCCUAGUGGUGGGGGAUAACGUUCGGAAACGGACGCUAAUACCGCAUACGUCCUACGGGAGAAAGCGGGGGACCUUCGGGCCUCGCGCCAUUAGAUGAGCCUAGGUCGGAUUAGCUAGUUGGUGAGGUAAUGGCUCACCAAGGCGACGAUCCGUAACUGGUCUGAGAGGAUUGGAUACG
This 281-nucleotide ribosomal RNA is filed under the name uncultured soil bacterium. RNAcentral describes it as "partial 16S ribosomal RNA". It matches the Rfam family "Bacterial small subunit ribosomal RNA", at positions 26 to 312 of the family's 1533-position model. The record is from RNAcentral.